CCCUUUAAAGAAAGCGUAAUAGCUCACUGGUCGAGUCGGUCUGCGCGGAAGAUGUAACGGGGCUAAACUAUGCACCGAAGCUGCGGAUUCAAAAUUUAUUUUGAGUGGUAGGGGAGCGUUCUGUAAGCCGUUGAAGGUGUACCGGGAGGUAUGCUGGAGGUAUCAGAAGUGCGAAUGCUGACAUGAGUAACGAUAAUGCGGGUGAAAAACCCGCACGCCGGAAGACCAAGGGUUCCUAUCCCAUGUUAAUCAGGGUAGGGUAAGUCGACCCCUAAGGCGAGGCCGAAAGGCGUAGUCGAUGGGAAACGGGUUAAUAUUCCCGUACUUGGUAUAAUUGCGAUGGGGGGACGGAGCAGGCUAAGCAAGCAUGGCGUUGGUUGUCCAUGUGAAAGUGAGUAGGUUGAGAGUUUAGGAAAAUCCGGACUCUUAAGACUGAGACACGAGACGAGCACCUAAGGGUGUGAAGUUGUUGAUGCCAUACUUCCAGGAAAAGCCUCUAAGCUUCAGAUUAUACCGAAUCGUACCCCAAACCGACACAGGUGGUCAGGUAGAGAAUACUAAGGCGCUUGAGAGAACUCGGGUGAAGGAACUAGGCAAAAUCGUACCGUAACUUCGGGAGAAGGUACGCUCCGAUUGGUGAUGAGACUUGCUCUUUAAGCUGAUUGGAGCCGCAGUGACCAGGUGGCUGGGACUGUUUAUUAAAAACACAGCACUGUGCAAAAUCGCAAGAUGACGUAUACGGUGUGACACCUGCCCGGUGCCGGAAGGUUAAUUGAUGGGGUUAGUUUUCGGACGAAGCUCUUGAUCGAAGCCCCGGUAAACGGCGGCCGUAACUAUAACGGUCCUAAGGUAGCGAAAUUCCUUGUCGGGUAAGUUCCGACCUGCACGAAUGGUGUAACCAUGGCCACGCUGUCUCCACCCGAGACUCAGUGAAAUUGAAAUCGCAGUGAAGAUGCUGUGUACCCGCGGCUAGACGGAAAGACCCCGUGAACCUUUACUACAGCUUGGCACUGAACAUUGAACCUACAUGUGUAGGAUAGGUGGGAGGCUUUGAAGCAGAAACGCUAGUUUUUGUGGAGCCGUCCUUGAAAUACCACCCUUGUAGUUUUGAUGUUCUAACGUUGGUCCCUGAUCGGGAUUACGGACAGUGCCUGGUGGGUAGUUUGACUGGGGCGGUCUCCUCCCAAAGAGUAA
RNAcentral lists this ribosomal RNA (1194 nucleotides) under marine metagenome. Its description in RNAcentral is "bacterial LSU rRNA". It matches the Rfam family "Bacterial large subunit ribosomal RNA", at positions 1119 to 2300 of the family's 2925-position model. The record is from RNAcentral.